AUGGUGACACCCGCGGCGGCAGUCGGGGGCAUGCUCGCCUCAGCCGUCAUCAAAGUGGUGAUAGGACAGAUCACUUCCAGCAUCACUGGCGAGAUCAAGCUGCACAAGAACAUGAGGAAGGAUCUGGAGAAUAUGAAGAUGACCCUCGAGUCGGUGGAGGCCGCGCUCAGCGAUGCCGAGAGGCGGUCUAUCAAGGAAAAAUCAGAGCGUGUGUGGCUGAAGCGGCUCAAGGACGCCAUGAACGACAUCUCUGACAUGCUUGAAGAUUUUGAAGAUGACACCGACCUCGACCUGUGGGUAGCUACGAUGAAGAAGAUUAGGAUGCCACGAAAGAUGAAAAAGAUGCAAAAACGCCUACAAAAGAUAAAAGAGGACCGUUAUAAUUAUGGUGUUCUGCCAGAAACUCGCUGCGAGGAGCGGCAUGUUCCUGACAUCCGGGAAACAGCAGGGUAUGUGGAGGAAGCAGAAAUCAUCUGGAGGACUGAUGAAGAACAGAAAAUCUUGGGUUGCAUAUCUGGGAACACCACUCAAGGGACCACCAUAUUUCCCAUAUGGGGCUUGGGAGGCAUUGGAAAGACCACCUUGGCAAGAUCGGUUUUCAAUGAUUCUCAGUUCAAUGAAUACUCUCGGGUGUGGGUCUAUGUCUCCCAGACAUUUGACUUGAAAAAAAUUGGCAACAUUAUAAUAUCACAACUAUCACAGAGUCAGAACCAGAUAUCUGAUUUGCAUAUGAUUCAUACUCGUCUUCGAGAGCUGUUUACGGGCAAGAAGAUCCUGAUUAUUUUGGAUGACCUGUGGGAGAAGCGGCCUGAUCAACUAGAACAAUUGAAGGCUAUGCCGAAACAGGGUGAGGGGAGCAAGGUGAUGGUUGUGGUAACCACACGCGAAGAAAGCAUUGCAAAGGAAAUUGGUACGGUUGCUCCGUACGGAUUACCUCCCUUCACAGAUGAAAUGUGCUGGGAUAUUAUUAAACGAAAAUGCAACUUUGAAGCUUGUCCUAACAAAGAGCGUCUUGAGCCAGUUGGAAAGGAAAUUGCAGCAAAGUGUGGAGGUGUGGCUUUAGCUGCUCAAUCACUUGGACACAUGUUGAAAUACACACCAUAUGAAGACUGGAUUUCGGUCAGAAACAGUCAAGUCUGGGAACUGUCUACUUCAGAAGAUACAUCCUAUACCCAUGAAGUGCUUGCAUCCUUAUUGUUAAGCUACAACCGCAUGCCUCAACACUUGAAGUUAUGCUUUGCUUAUUGUGCAAUCUUUCCAAAAGGUCACAAAAUGAUUAAAGAUGAUCUGAUUCAUCAAUGGAUCGCUCUUAGAUUCAUAGAGCCAUCUAAUACGUUCUCUACCUGGCAACUCGGUCAGCGUUAUGUUAGGCAGCUUCUGGAAAUGUCCUUUCUGCAACAUUCAAAUGCUGACACCAGAACUCUCGACGAAAGAAAAGAUGUUACAGUGUUCACUAUGCAUGACCUGGUGCAUGACCUGGCAAGAUCGGUCAUGGCUGAUGAAUUUAACUUGGAGGGCCCUUACUGCCGCUAUGUAUGGCGGACAGAAUGUAAGAAACCAUUAAAGUCAUCCACGACUUCACAUGCAAAGCUAAGGGCGCUGCAUAUUGUGGACCAUGCCUACAAAGAAAUUGAGUUCCAUCGUGAUGUAGAUUCACCGGCUAAGUACAUCCAUGUCUUAGAUUUGGACAGACGCUAUUGGCAUGAGUUGCCAGAUUCUAUUGGUCAAUUGAAGCAGUUGAGGUAUCUUAGCGCUCCACUAACCAGUGGUCUAAUGAAUCCAAACUGCAUUGGUAUGCUCUCAAAAUUGAAUUAUCUCAACCUUCAUUAUUGUGGUAUCUCAGCAUUGCCAGAUUCGAUUGGUGAAAUGAAAGGUCUGAUGCAUCUUGACUUAUCAUGUUGUAAGGGCUUAAAAGAACUCCCAUUGUCAUUUGGGAAGCUCAGAGAGUUGCUAUAUCUGGAUUUAUCACACUGUGAUGGUCUUUCGGGGAUACCCCAAGCUUUGGGUGGCCUUGUCAAACUCCAAGUUUUGGACUUAUCAGCGUGCGAAAAUCUCGGUGGGCUGCCAGAAGUCAUCCGCAUGCUCACUGAACUCCGCUAUUUGAAUCUAUCAUGGUGCAUGCAUCAUAUCUUUGACAGCUCAUCAACUGAUCAUGCUGCAAGUUUCAUUGACUGUAUCUGCAUGCUUCCCAAUAUGGAGCAGCUGCACUUGUCUUGCCAAUAUCAAUAUAAAUAUCCUCUUAGCAUACCAGAAAGUGCUACCUGUCUCAGUAAGCUGGAUCUCCAUGGGUGCUACAGUGUUACUCGGAUUCCAGAAUUUGUGGCUAAAAUGGAUACUCGAAGCCUUUUUGGCUUGUUGCCGUACUUUCUGGUAUAUUCAGAUAGUACGGAAUCUAACAGCAACCUUGCCUUGCUUGAGCAUACAAAUCCUGAACGGCUGAGUAUCGUUGGGCUUGAAGGUGUGAAGUCCCUGGAAGAGACACACAUUAUAAAUCUUCGUGAGAAACAGAGCAUUGGGAAACUGAAAUUAGAGUGGUUCAAAGAUUCAAAGAGAUAUGUGGAAGACAUGGAGUUGCUGAGGGAGCUAGUGCCGCCAACCACUUUGCAGGAGUUUGAGAUAUGUGGUUAUAGUAGUGUCAGCUUUCCAUACUGGCUAAUGGAUAUCGGAAAUUAUCUCCCUAAUCUUGUACGGAUGGAGAUGUCUCAUUUGCCAAACUGCAACAGACUACCACCCCUUGGCCAACUACGAAACCUUCGAGUUCUUAGUCUGGGCGAGAUGGAAAGCCUGGAAGAAUGGAACAUAGCAUACUCAUGUGGUGAAGAUGGUGUGCAUGAGCUCAUGUUCCCUAAGCUUGAGGAAGUGUAUAUAUCUUAUUGCCCCAGAUUGAGGAUAAAACCACACCUUCCUAGAGCUGCGUCUUGGAGUGUAGGGAGAAGUGAUGGUGUGCUCAUAUCAUGGGGAGAGAGUGUGGCACACACUGAUGCUUCCUCAUCUUCUUCCCCUGUAUCUACUAGACUGGAAGUUUCAGGCAGCAAAUUGCCUCUGCAUCAGUGGAGUUUGCUUCACUACCUACCUGCCCACAGCGAUUUGGAUAUCUAUGGUUGCAACGAUUUGGCAGGCUCACCAGAGAUCACCCGGGCCCUCCACUCCCUCAAAUCACUGAAACUAAAUAUGACAGACAGUGAAGAACUGGUGGAAUGGUUCGCAGACCUCACGUCUCUUCAGCAUCUAACAUUACGUGAGUACAAGAAGCUAGAGCAAUUGCCUCGUAACAUAAGGCAACUGACACAGCUCGAAUCAUUAUCACUGUGUGGCUGCAAAAGGAUGACAUCACUGCCAGAAUGGUUAGGAGAACUCACCUCUCUCCUGAAACUUGAAAUUCUGUGGUGCCCUGCCAUCACAACUUUGCCAGAGAGCAUACAGCAACUCACAAACCUCCAACAGUUAAAAAUUUACGGCAGCCCAGAAUUAAGGAAGUGGUGUGCAGCAGAGGAGAACAAGGCAAAGCUUGCUCACAUCAAAGAAAUGCUUACAGAAUCUGACAAAGACGAAGCCACUCUGGCAGAGCCAGCAGAGCCACAACACUGUGGAUGCUUGAGAUUCAUGGGGUUUAAGGAGGAUCAAUGA
This 3627-nucleotide ribosomal RNA is filed under the name Triticum aestivum (bread wheat). RNAcentral's name for it is "partial small subunit ribosomal RNA". The record is from RNAcentral. Lineage: Eukaryota; Viridiplantae; Streptophyta; Magnoliopsida; Poales; Poaceae.